This is a long non-coding RNA of Panicum hallii, 662 nucleotides long. RefSeq lists it as uncharacterized. Lineage: Eukaryota; Viridiplantae; Streptophyta; Magnoliopsida; Poales; Poaceae. The transcript has 2 exons. The record is from RefSeq and is a predicted model, not a curated record.
CCUCCUGCUGCCGCCGGCCGGCGCCGGCGCCCAACGUCGAUGGCGAGAACGCCGGGGCUUCUUCCGCCUCUAUUCCAGUCCUGAAAUCCUUUGCCAGCUUCGUCUGAGGACGGGCGAGAGGACGACGACGCCGCCCGCCUGGAGGCUACGCUCGACGGGCGUCACCGCCACGGCCGGCGCCAGAGCGGCAGACGGACCGUCGAGAUGUCAACGCCAUUCAGCAGCUUGUUGCUCCCGCCGGAGCGCCUUGUUCAAUGUUCGCCGCCUCGUACCCCCUGGAUUAAUGUCGCCGUCGAUCCAAUGUUCGUCGCUUGGAGUUCGGAUAAGGUUACGAGUUUCAGAUUAGCCUAUACCGUCACACGUGCACAUCUGGGAGUACUAUUUUCUAAUAGUAGCUGAUGAUCCAAAUGGGCAGCUAAUUGCAGGAAGGUGAGAGGAAUUCACCGCGCUGACCAUUCGGAUUGCAUAUACAACAGUUUCAUGGAGAGAACUUCAGCAAGCGAUGGAUAGCUUCAGAAAAGCUGUUUAAGGACUCCUCUAGUACUUAGCACUGCCAUCAUUGCUUGCCUUGUAUGGAAAGUCCAGCUUCAAGUUGUUUGAACUUUGCACUGUCAGAUGAGCUAACUGCAAAACUUGAAAUGAAAAUUUUCAUGAUUGUUUGG